GGACCUGUAUUCAAUUAUGAUAUAUAAUUUGCAAUUAUAAGGUGUUUGCUAAGCCUGGUUUA
Molecule: transfer RNA, 62 nt
Filed under: Calanus simillimus
Lineage: Eukaryota; Metazoa; Arthropoda; Copepoda; Calanoida; Calanidae
Description: tRNA-Ala
Source: RNAcentral